CCUCUAAUGCGGCCCGGCAUGGUGCCGGACGGUGGUAAGCCCGUGCAAACGCAGAACCUAGG
This 62-nucleotide non-coding RNA is filed under the name unclassified sequences. The record is from RNAcentral.